Molecule: ribosomal RNA, 50 nt
Filed under: Halomonas daqiaonensis
Lineage: Bacteria; Pseudomonadati; Pseudomonadota; Gammaproteobacteria; Oceanospirillales; Halomonadaceae
Description: 16S rRNA. Bacterial SSU
Source: RNAcentral
UUAAACUGAAGAGUUUGAUCAUGGCUCAGAUUGAACGCUGGCGGCAGGCC